Molecule: ribosomal RNA, 751 nt
Filed under: Pseudomonas sp. EMA-68
Lineage: Bacteria; Pseudomonadati; Pseudomonadota; Gammaproteobacteria; Pseudomonadales; Pseudomonadaceae
Description: bacterial SSU rRNA
Rfam family: Bacterial small subunit ribosomal RNA
Source: RNAcentral
AGCUUGCUUNUCUUGAGAGCGGCGGACGGGUGAGUAAUGCCUAGGAAUCUGCCUGGUAGUGGGGGAUAACGUUCGGAAACGGACGCUAAUACCGCAUACGUCCUACGGGAGAAAGCAGGGGACCUUCGGGCCUUGCGCUAUCAGAUGAGCCUAGGUCGGAUUAGCUAGUUGGUGAGGUAAUGGCUCACCAAGGCGACGAUCCGUAACUGGUCUGAGAGGAUGAUCAGUCACACUGGAACUGAGACACGGUCCAGACUCCUACGGGAGGCAGCAGUGGGGAAUAUUGGACAAUGGGCGAAAGCCUGAUCCAGCCAUGCCGCGUGUGUGAAGAAGGUCUUCGGAUUGUAAAGCACUUUAAGUUGGGAGGAAGGGCAGUUACCUAAUACGUGAUUGUUUUGACGUUACCGACAGAAUAAGCACCGGCUAACUCUGUGCCAGCANCCGCGGUAAUACAGAGGGUGCAAGCGUUAAUCGGAAUUACUGGGCGUAAAGCGCGCGUAGGUGGUUUGUUAAGUUGGAUGUGAAAUCCCCGGGCUCAACCUGGGAACUGCAUUCAAAACUGACUGACUAGAGUAUGGUAGAGGGUGGUGGAAUUUCCUGUGUANCGNUGAAAUGCGUAGAUAUAGGAAGGAACACCANUGGCGAAGGCGACCACCUGGACUGAUACUGACACUGANGUGCGAAAGCGUGGGGAGCAAACAGGAUUANAUACCCUGGUAGUCCACGCCGNAAACGAUGUCAACUAGCCGUU